UACGUAGGUGGCAAGCGUUGUCCGGAAUUAUUGGGCGUAAAGCGCGCGCAGGCGGUCCUUUAAGUCUGAUGUGAAAGCCCACGGCUCAACCGUGGAGGGUCAUUGGAAACUGGGGGACUUGAGUGCAGGAGAGAAGAGUGGAAUUCCACGUGUAGCGGUGAAAUGCGUAGAGAUGUGGAGGAACACCAGUGGCGAAGGCGGCUCUCUGGGACGGUACUGACGCUGAGGUGCGAAAGCGUGGGGAGCAAACAGG
This 253-nucleotide ribosomal RNA is filed under the name uncultured bacterium. Its description in RNAcentral is "partial 16S ribosomal RNA". It matches the Rfam family "Bacterial small subunit ribosomal RNA", at positions 524 to 776 of the family's 1533-position model. The record is from RNAcentral.